Molecule: ribosomal RNA, 505 nt
Filed under: uncultured bacterium
Lineage: Bacteria
Description: partial 16S ribosomal RNA
Rfam family: Bacterial small subunit ribosomal RNA
Source: RNAcentral
GAUGAACGCUAGCUACAGGCUUAACACAUGCAAGUCGAGGGGUAACGAGAGGAAAGCUUGCUUUCCUUGUCGACGACCGGCGCACGGGUGAGUAACGCGUAUCCAACCUGCCCCCAACUAGGGAAUAACCUUGCGAAAGUAAGACUAAUACCCUAUAAUUUCCUCAGAUGUCAUCUGACGAGGAAUAAAGAUUUAUCGGUUGUGGAUGGGGAUGCGUCUGAUUAGCUUGUUGGCGGGUAACGGCCCACCAAGGCAACGAUCAGUAGGGGUUCUUAGAGGAAGGUCCCCCACAUUGGAACUGAGACACGGUCCAACCUCCUACGGGAGGCAGCAGUGAGGAAUAUUGGUCAAUGGGCGGAAGCCUGAACCGGCCAAGUAGCGUGCAGGAUGACGGCCCUAUGGGUUGUAAACUGCUUUUAUACAGGAAUAAAGUUAGCCACGUGUGGUUAUUUGUAGGUACUGUAUGAAUAAGGACCGGCUAAUUCCGUGCCAGCCGCCGCAGUAA